UACAGAGGGUGCGAGCGUUAAUCGGAAUUACUGGGCGUAAAGCGUGCGUAGACGGCUAUCUAAGUCGGGUGUGAAAGCCCCGGGCUCAACCUGGGAAUUGCAUUCGAGACUGAAUAGCUAGGGUACGGUAGAGGAGAGCGGAAUUCCCGGUGUAGUGGUGGAAUGCGUAGAGAUCGGGAGGAACACCAGUGGCGAAAGCGGCUCUCUGGUCCAAAACUGACGCUGAGGGGCGAAAGCGUGGGGAGCGAACGGG
Molecule: ribosomal RNA, 253 nt
Filed under: uncultured bacterium
Lineage: Bacteria
Description: partial 16S ribosomal RNA
Rfam family: Bacterial small subunit ribosomal RNA
Source: RNAcentral